Molecule: ribosomal RNA, 431 nt
Filed under: Aporcelinus jiaonanensis
Lineage: Eukaryota; Metazoa; Nematoda; Enoplea; Dorylaimida; Aporcelaimidae
Description: LSU rRNA
Rfam family: Eukaryotic large subunit ribosomal RNA
Source: RNAcentral
GAAUCGUUGAACCGAACGAAGUAUCGAGCGCYUAAGUAAAAUAUACGUCGGCCGUAAAGCUCGCUCGUGUAACGGCUACUCGGUCGAUAGUGUCGGCGCUUGCUCGCAGGUGCCGAUCUAUUCGAUUCGAUUAAAAAGUUAUCGGCGACAUUUCGACGUAUAGGCGUCGGCGGUGUCAGUGUCGGCCACCCAUCCGACCCGUCUUGAAACACGGACCAAGGAGUCUAACAUAUGCGCGAGCUAAUGGGUGGAAAACCCAAAAGCGUAAUAAAAGUAAAGGCUGUUUCGGACAGCUAAGGUAUGAUCCCGGUAAUCCGAGCGAUUCCGGGCGCAAUACCGUCCCGUCCCGACCGCACGUCGGUAGGGCGGAGAUAGAGUKCMUACGUUGGGACCCGAAAGAUGGUGAACUAUGCCUGAGCAGAGCGAAGCCA